GACGAACGCUGGCGGCGUGCUUAACACAUGCAAGUCGAACGGAAAGGCCUGCUUUCCCUUGUGUAUUGCGGGUACUCGAGUGGCGAACGGGUGAGUAACACGUGAGUGAUCUGCCCCCAACUUGGGUAUAAGCCUGGGAAACUGGGUCUAAUUCCCGAUAGGACUGCAGGGUGGUGCCUGUGGUGGAAAACGAUUUUCUAGUGGUUGGGGAUGAGCUCGCGGCCUAUCAGCUUGUUGGUGGGGUAAUGGCCUACCAAGGCGGCGACGGGUAGCCGGCCUGAGAGGGUGGACGGCCACAUUGGGACUGAGAUACGGCCCAGACUCCUACGGGAGGCAGCAGUGGGGAAGAAUGCACAAUGGGCGGAAGCCUGAUGCAGCGACGCCGCGUGAGGGAUGACGGCCUUCGGGUUGUAAACUCCUUUCGACCGCGAGGAAGCCACCUGGUUGGAAGGGUGGUGACGGUAGUGGUAGAAGAAGCACCGGCUAACUACGUG
This 494-nucleotide ribosomal RNA is filed under the name uncultured bacterium. Its description in RNAcentral is "partial 16S ribosomal RNA". It matches the Rfam family "Bacterial small subunit ribosomal RNA", at positions 28 to 507 of the family's 1533-position model. The record is from RNAcentral.